CUGGUCACUGCGACACAGCUGCCCUCGCCCAUUCUAAAAAGUCAGCGCCCUCAGGACCGCAGAGCUUAGAAGCAAAGUUAAGAGACUCAUCAGAUUCUGAGCUGCGGCGGGAUAUUUUGCAGAAGGUUACCUAACCAAACUCCUGUAAAACCACACCACCUAUGCCUGUGAUGGGGACUAUCUGAAUCUACAGUGCCCUCGGCAUUCUACAAUAAGUGUCCAAUCGGCAUUUUAUGGACAAGAUUACCCAAUGUGUAGUUCCCAGAAGCCUGCCUGCCAGAGGGAAGACAGCUUAACUUGUGUGGCACCCACCACCUUCCAGAUGAAUUAAAAAACAAAACCGUGUGUGAAGACAAGGAGCUGAAACUGCACUGCCAUGAAUCCAAGUUCCUCAACAUCUACUCUGUGACCUAUGGCAGGAGGAUCCAGGAAAGGGACAUGUGCUCCUCCAAGGCAGAGCGGCUCCCCCCCUUUUCAGUUUGUGCUUUUGUAUGGGUAUUAGCCGGGGUUCUCUAGAGGGACUGAACUAAUAGGAUAUAUAAUGGGAUAUAUAUAUAUGAUUGUGGAAGUCAAUACUUAAUAACACAAUCACAAUCUUGUGAUCGUGAAUGUUAAUACUUAAUAAACUCCCAUAUGUGUGUGUGUGUGUGUGUGUGUGUGUGUGUGUGUGUAUAAAUGCUUGUAAACAGUAAUCUGCCAAAAAUAAAUAAG
RNAcentral lists this long non-coding RNA (711 nucleotides) under Homo sapiens (human). RNAcentral's name for it is "HSALNT0317898". The record is from RNAcentral. Lineage: Eukaryota; Metazoa; Chordata; Mammalia; Primates; Hominidae.